This 97-nucleotide transfer RNA is filed under the name Lupinus albus (white lupine). RNAcentral's name for it is "hypothetical ncRNA". The stretch from base 24 to 96 matches the Rfam family "tRNA". From Rfam's summary of the family: Transfer RNA (tRNA) molecules are approximately 80 nucleotides in length. Their secondary structure includes four short double-helical elements and three loops (D, anti-codon, and T loops). Lineage: Eukaryota; Viridiplantae; Streptophyta; Magnoliopsida; Fabales; Fabaceae. The record is from RNAcentral.
CGAUUUGGUUGGGAUGGUAAGUGACCUACUUAACUCAGUGGUUAGAGUAUUGCUUUCAUACGGCGGGAGUCAUUGGUUCAAAUCCAAUAGUAGGUAA